Molecule: ribosomal RNA, 490 nt
Filed under: uncultured bacterium
Lineage: Bacteria
Description: partial 16S ribosomal RNA
Rfam family: Bacterial small subunit ribosomal RNA
Source: RNAcentral
AUUGAACGCUGGCGGCAGGCCUAACACAUGCAAGUCGAACGGUAACAGAAAGCAGCUUGCUGCUUUGCUGACGAGUGGCGGACGGGUGAGUAAUGUCUGGGAAACUGCCUGAUGGAGGGGGAUAACUACUGGAAACGGUAGCUAAUACCGCAUAACGUCGCAAGACCAAAGAGGGGGACCUUCGGGCCUCUUGCCAUCGGAUGUGCCCAGAUGGGAUUAGCUAGUAGGUGGGGUAAAGGCUCACCUAGGCGACGAUCCCUAGCUGGUCUGAGAGGAUGACCAGCCACACUGGAACUGAGACACGGUCCAGACUCCUACGGGAGGCAGCAGUGGGGAAUAUUGCACAAAGGGCGCAAGCCUGAUGCAGCCAUGCCGCGUGCAUGAAGAAGGCCUUCGGGUUGUAAAGUACUUUCAGCGGGGAGGAAGGGAGUAAAGUUAAUACCUUUGCUCAUUGACGUUACCCGCAGAAGAAGCACCGGCUAACUCCGUG